GCUGGGCGUGGUGACUCACGCCUGUAAUCCCAGCACUUUGGGAGGCUGAGGCAGGUGGAUCACCUGAGGUUGGGAGUUCGAGACCAGCCUGGCCAAUAUGGUGAAACCCUGUCUCUA
This 117-nucleotide non-coding RNA is filed under the name Cercocebus atys (sooty mangabey). Lineage: Eukaryota; Metazoa; Chordata; Mammalia; Primates; Cercopithecidae. The record is from Rfam by way of RNAcentral. RNAcentral also lists the same sequence under 2 other names.